RNAcentral lists this ribosomal RNA (431 nucleotides) under uncultured bacterium. Its description in RNAcentral is "partial 16S ribosomal RNA". It matches the Rfam family "Bacterial small subunit ribosomal RNA", at positions 29 to 507 of the family's 1533-position model. The record is from RNAcentral.
AACGAACGCUGGCGGCAGGCUUAACACAUGCAAGUCGAGCGCCCCGCAAGGGGGGCGGCAGCCGGGUGGGUAACGCGUGGGAACUUACCUUUUGGUUCGGAACAACUCCGUGAAACUGGAGCUAAUACCGGAUAAGCCCUAACGUGGAAAGAUUUAUCGCCGAAAGAUCGGCCCGCGUCUGAUUAGCUAGUUGGUGAGGUAACGGCUCACCAAGGCGACGAUCAGUAGCUGGUCUGAGAGGAUGAUCAGACACACUGGGACUGAGACACGGCCCAGACUCCUACGGGAGGCAGCAGUGGGUAAUAUUGGACAAUGGGCGCAAGCAUGAUCCAGCCAUGCCGCGUGAGUGAUGAAGGCCUUAGGGUUGUAAAGCUCUUUUGUCCGGGAAGAUAAUGACUGUACCGGAAGAAUAAGCCCCGGCUAACUUCGUG